GACGAACGCUGGCGGCGUGCUUAACACAUGCAAGUCGAACGGAAAGGCCCUGCUUUUGUGGGGUGCUCGAGUGGCGAACGGGUGAGUAACACGUGAGUAACCUGCCCUUGACUUUGGGAUAACUUCAGGAAACUGGGGCUAAUACCGGAUAGGAGCUCCUGCUGCAUGGUGGGGGUUGGAAAGUUUCGGCGGUUGGGGAUGGACUCGCGGCUUAUCAGCUUGUUGGUGGGGUAGUGGCUUACCAAGGCUUUGACGGGUAGCCGGCCUGAGAGGGUGACCGGGCGGAGUGUGAGAGAGACAGGGCAGAGGCGGGGGCGAGGGGAGGCGGUGGAGAAGAGGGGAGGGGGGGAGCACGGCGGGGGGGGGAAGGGCGGGUGGGGGAGGACGGGCGUGGGGGUGGACGCGGUGUCGCCGUGUGACGAGGGGGGUGAGACGGAAAGGAGAAAAGAAGCCAGGACAAAGAACGGGGCAGCAGCGGAGGUAAUAGCGGGACGAGAACACCUCUGAUC
Molecule: ribosomal RNA, 509 nt
Filed under: uncultured bacterium
Lineage: Bacteria
Description: partial 16S ribosomal RNA
Rfam family: Bacterial small subunit ribosomal RNA (bases 21-331)
Source: RNAcentral